This 468-nucleotide ribosomal RNA is filed under the name uncultured bacterium. RNAcentral describes it as "partial 16S ribosomal RNA". It matches the Rfam family "Bacterial small subunit ribosomal RNA", at positions 28 to 507 of the family's 1533-position model. The record is from RNAcentral.
GACGAACGCUGGCGGCGUGCUUAACACAUGCAAGUCGAACGGAAAGGCCCUGCUUUUGUGGGGUGCUCGAGUGGCGAACGGGUGAGUAACACGUGAGUAACCUGCCCUUGACUUUGGGAUAACUUCAGGAAACUGGGGCUAAUACCGGAUAGGAUCUACUGCUGCAUGGUGGGGGUUGGAAAGUUUCGGCGGUUGGGGAUGGACUCGCGGCUUAUCAGCUUGUUGGUGGGGUAGUGGCUUACCAAGGCUUUGACGGGUAGCCGGCCUGAGAGGGUGACCGGCCACAUUGGGACUGAGAUACGGCCCAGACGCCUACGGGAGGCAGCAGUGGGGAAUAUUGCACAAUGGGCGGAAGCCUGAGGCAGCAACGCCGCGUGCGGGAUGACGGCCUUCGGGUUGUAAACCGCUUUCGCCUGUGACGAAGCGUGAGUGACGGUAAUGGGUAAAGAAGCACCGGCUAACUACGUG